Long non-coding RNA from Phyllostomus discolor (pale spear-nosed bat), 112 nucleotides. RefSeq lists it as uncharacterized. Lineage: Eukaryota; Metazoa; Chordata; Mammalia; Chiroptera; Phyllostomidae. The transcript is spliced from 4 exons. The record is from RefSeq and is a predicted model, not a curated record.
GGACAGAGACAACAAACUGGCAUACCUUCAUUCCUGCCGCGGCUGCGGGGCCACUGGGGUCCACGGCCUGGAUGUGGCACGGCUUGCUUCCUCGCACCACGAAGCCCCAGCC